CCUACGGGAGGCAGCAGUGAGGAAUAUUGCGCAAUGGGGGAAACCCUGACGCAGCAAUGCCGCGUGAAUGAAGAAGGCCUAUGGGUUGUAAAAUUCUGUCAGAAGGGAAGAACAUGUCGGUUAGCAGCUGAUAUUGACGGUACCUUCAGAGGAAGCUCCGGCUAACUCCGUGCCAGCAGCCGCGGUAAUACGGGGGGAGCAAGCGUUGUCCGGAAUUAUUGGGCGUAAAGGGUGCGUAGGCGGACUAGUAAGUCUGGUGUGAAAGUUCACGGCUUAACCGUGAAAGGCCACUGGAUACUGUUAGUCUUGAAUCACAGAGGGGGUAGUGGAAUUCCAGGUGUAGCGGUGAAAUGCGUAGAUAUCUGGAGGAACACCGGUGGCGAAGGCGACUACCUGGCUGUGAAUUGACGCUGAGGCACGAAAGCGUGGGUAGCAAACAG
Molecule: ribosomal RNA, 440 nt
Filed under: uncultured bacterium
Lineage: Bacteria
Description: partial 16S ribosomal RNA
Rfam family: Bacterial small subunit ribosomal RNA
Source: RNAcentral